CACGUGCAUACUGGAUAACCCAGCACUGGCGAUUCAGGUGCCAGGCAGACCCCAGAGGUUCACUGGAAAAUUCUGCCCACUUUGUGGUGUGUUUGAAAACUCCUGGAAUAAAAUGCUGAGCCCUACACUCCCUCUGCAGUCCCUGGUCUGAAUUGAGAACCUUCGCAUGCCAGGUGAAACAUUUCGUCAAAUCUCAUACUUCACAAGUCGGCGAUCCACAAAUACUUUUAUUAGCUUCCUUGUGUGCAAGCCGCCAGAAGCUGUAUGUCAUUUUUUCUCCAUGAAACCAACAUUCAAAUCAACCGUAAGAACGACGACAGCAACAAUAAUAAUCAUUUCCAUGAAGUUAACCUGGUUAGUGUGUAGGUACAGGUUUUUCAAAUGCAAAUUACGAAAUAGAUCCAAGGAUAAAGAUAAGGCUCCAAACAUUAACAGCACCAGAUAUCGCUAUGCCUUCCUGUCAUACAGCCCAGGACGCUGACGGGGAACGCUGGAUGGGGGGUAGGUGGGGAGUUGGAGCAGAGAGAGGAACUUACAGCUGUGACGGGAAAGCCUCGUAGGUAUCCCUCAGUUCAAGAUGCUGGCUUUCUUACUGUUUCCUUUAGAGACUUAAGCUGGGCGCUAAGGCCUCAGAAUCUGAUGUAAAUGUUAAUAAUGUACAUGUAAUGUAAGUGUAAAUGUUAAUAACAAGGUCCCGACUAAAAGAAUACUAUUUAUUUUUGGGAGACCAUUGUCAGAUGUAACUGAUGCUAUAGUCAUUGUCCUUAUGCUGAAAACACCCAACAGGGUCCCUCUACUCAUGUCCCACCUCUGGGGUCUGAGGACCAUCUACUAAUUCAGAGGCACUUGGUGUGUGUCUUCAAAAUGCAGAUUCAAAUUCAACAGGUAAUUUUGAUGGACCCUAGAGUCUGAGAGCUACCGCCUUCCAGGCUUCGGGCCUCAGUAGGGUCCGUUUCGCAUAUGGCUGCACUACACAGUGAAGCUUGAGUUGCUCAAGAAAAUGCCGGAACGAUGAGACGUUAGACACAUAUCACAAGCAUUCGUUUUAACCUUCAGAUCUCCUACCGUUUCUUAAUGUUGAUAGUCGUGGUGACAAAUAAAAUCAACUUCAGAAGGAAUUCCCUGUAAAUAUAAAAUAUAGUAACUCCUCACUCAAUCCUUUGGGCUCCAUUCAGUCCUUUCCUGGAAAAAGAUGAGGACAUCAUUUGGGAUCAUAGCCCUGCUGGCCACAGGGGAGCUUCCGAAAGCGGAGUCAUCCUACGUUCAGGGAAGGCCUUAGUCACUUCACUAGAAGUGUUCCAAUUCCUGCUGUGUAAUUGAGCUCUGUGAACAAUGGAAGGAGGACACCAGAUUAAAGAAUAUUGUCUUCUUGAUGCAGAAGACUUCACUUAUCUCUUUAAAGAAUUUACUCACGCAGGGCUAAGGGAUGGCCUGUUUCUUCCCUGUGAAUCAGUGGAGGGUUUCACUGGGAACAGAGACCCAGAUACCCCUGCGCCCCCAGGCAUGUGGAUAGGGAAGGAGGGCAGCCUGGCUCCUGGGACCACCUUGGAUCAGGGAUCCCCUCUGCUUUCCUGUCAUCAAGUCAUUAGGAAAGAGAUCCCAAGAGGUCCCUUGGAACUAGGAACUGGUGUUUAACAGCAUACAGUCUGCACAAAUAAAACACUUUCUCUCUUUCUGUCUUCCCAAAUAGCAUUUUGAAGACUUGGACAUCUAGGAAUUUAUUUGAAGGGCUUAGGAUAGAGGUCAGGUUAGCUAAUUAAGAGACUAAUUUUUUUUUUUUUUUUCUGUUUUCCACCUCUUCAAUUUGCAUCUCGGGCUAUAGCUUGGUCGUUUUCAUCCCUUGCAGUGUAUUAGAGUCAUCCAUGGAGCUUUGAGAAAUUCCAACACUCUGGUCCCAUUACUGGAGAGAGCCUGAUUCAGUUGGUCUUGGGUAGGCCUUUAGCAUCACUUUCAAAGCCCAGCAUCACGUGUUUCAAAGCUCCCAGCUGAUUCUCAGUGUAGCCAAAGUUGAGAGUCACUGCUAGUUUUAUGACAUGACAUUUACAAAAAGCCAGUUGUAUUAAAAUCAACUACCACCAAUGACAACAAAACUUCUGAUUCGACAGAUCCUAACAUUUCAGUAGUUGAGGGAGGCAUUAUUCUUGGUUUGAGAUUUUUCUGGGAAUUUGACCACAUUUCACAUUUAAAUGCCCGGGCCAGAAUUCCACGACUCAACACUCUAAAAAGACAGACAGAAGAUUUUCCAUCACGCCGUGGUGAAGCAGUAACAGCAAUACCCAAAUUCAUAUCUGCAUCCGGUUUGAAGGCAAAAUGCAGCAAGAUAUUCAGAGCGUACAAUUGCUGGUGACACCUUGUUUUUUCAAUCUGUCCGUAAAAUUUCUAACCUCAAAGCUUUAGAGAAUUUAGUCUCUGGAAAGUCCAACGAGUGUAACAAAAUCGGCUGAUGUUUUUGCGGUUAGGUUGCACUUGAUUGAUUGCGGGGACUUUCGUCUGGAGCCAAUCCGUGCCACAGAGCCAGUUGAAGCAUUCGUAUGUAGCCACAGAUGCUUAUCUCUCCUCGUAACAUCUAUGAGAGCAACAGCAGACAAGAAUGAGGCUGGAUUGGCUUCUGAGGACGGGGACCGCCUGAGACAAUAAUUCCAUCAGGAAUAUCUGAUGUCAUGAAGCAAUGCGUCCGUGAUCCACUAAGAUGAACACAUUUCCGUUGCAGGAGGGAAUCAGGCUUUCUCGUUUCUCCGAACACCCGGUCCCAGGGAAGUCUGAAAUUGGUGUCCUCAAGCCCUCUCCUCACCUCUUAUUCCUUUGAGGUUUACAGAAAAUCUGUGCUACAGUUAAUAACAGAUAGAUCUAUUGUUACCUUUCAGUAAGAAGAGCAAUAUUAUUUGGAAAUAUGUUUUUGUAUCAGUUUGAAAACACACACGCAGGUGUCACCAUUUAUGCUUUGUAGUAUAAUGGUCUGCCCCUCCAUUCUUUUUCUUUCCUGGUAACUUGUGUACAUAUAUGAGCUAUUAAAGAAUGGUUACUUAUUCACUCUCAGUAGAAUAGGCAAGGCAGCAACACAGUCAGUGACCAACUCAAUAGGCAUUUAUUGGGCAAUCACUUCCUUUAAGGCACUGAGCCCAGGUCCUAUGGUUAAUACAAAAAUGCAUAAGGCCUUGACCGCUCCUCCCAGGGGCUUCUGGUCCAGUAAAGGAGAGUAAGCUGCAGAUACAAACAACCCAUGCGGAAUAGAAAGUGGCAAAUGUGAAAUACAAGGAACGUGCUGUGGGAUUUCUGAGCACAGUCAGAUCACGUCUGAGGGUGUUCUGCGGAGCGGAUGCUUUCUGCCCUGGGCUCCGAUGGAGCUUAGGGUUUGGGCAAGUAAUGGUGGGCGGGUAGAGAUGGGCUACCCCAGGCAGCGGUAGUCAUGCGAGCAAGCGGAUGGCCCUGGAAAGUGCUGAGCGGUGUCUGGACCCGUAAACUACUGUUUGGUUGUGAUGUCGAUAGAGCGCAC
Neofelis nebulosa (Clouded leopard) is the source of this 3493-nucleotide long non-coding RNA. RefSeq lists it as uncharacterized. Lineage: Eukaryota; Metazoa; Chordata; Mammalia; Carnivora; Felidae. The record is from RefSeq and is a predicted model, not a curated record. The transcript is spliced from 3 exons.